This 445-nucleotide ribosomal RNA is filed under the name uncultured bacterium. RNAcentral describes it as "bacterial SSU rRNA". It matches the Rfam family "Bacterial small subunit ribosomal RNA", at positions 217 to 662 of the family's 1533-position model. The record is from RNAcentral.
GGUAUGGGAUGAGCUUGCGUCCGAUUAGCUAGUUGGCGGGGCAACGGCCCACCAAGGCGACGAUCGGUAGCCGGCCUGAGAGGGCGAUCGGCCACAUUGGGACUGAGAUACGGCCCAGACUCCUACGGGAGGCAGCAGUAGGGAAUAUUGCACAAUGGGGGAAACCCUGAUGCAGCAACGCCACGUGUGGGAAGAAGCAUUUCGGUGUGUAAACCACUGUCGUGAGGGAAUAAGGCUGUUUUUCGGAACAGUUGAAUGUACCUCGAAAGGAAGCACCGGCAAACUUCGUGCCAGCAGCCGCGGUAAUACGAGGGGUGCAAGCGUUGUUCGGAAUCACUGGGCGUAAAGGGAGCGUAGGCGGAGAUGCAAGCAGUCUGUACAAUACCGGGGCCCAACCCCGGACCUGCAGACUGGACUGUGUCUCUUGGAUAGUUCAGGGGCAGGC